This 424-nucleotide ribosomal RNA is filed under the name Unciger foetidus. Its description in RNAcentral is "partial 16S ribosomal RNA". The record is from RNAcentral. Lineage: Eukaryota; Metazoa; Arthropoda; Diplopoda; Julida; Julidae.
AUGUCUUCUUGAUAUUUUAUAAGGGGUCUGACCUGCUCGCUGAGAUUUGAAGGGCUGCAGUAUUUUAACUGUACAAAGGUAGCAUAAUCAUUAGUCUUUUAAUUGAGGACUGGUAUGAAGGGUUAAACAAAACAGUAUUGUUUUAAGGAUAUAAAAUGAAUUUUUCUUUUGCGUUAAAAGACGUAAAUUAAGAUAAGGGACAAGAAGACCCUUAUAAGCUUUAUGAGCAUAAUUAUUAGAAUUUAUAAUAUGAGAUUGAAUUAAUUGUGUAUAUUUUGCUGGGGCGGCGGAUAUAAAUUAUCUAUAUUAAUUAUAAAUAUUAGCUUAAAUUUUGUUAUUAGCUUGUAUGAAGGCUAAAAGAAGUUACUGAAGGGAUAACAGCGUAAUGUUUUUUGAGAGCUCUCAUUGACAGAGAUGUUUGCGA